UAUUGAGUUGGGGUACUUGGCGGUGUGCAGUCCUGAAACGUUGAACACGGGAAGGCUCCUCAACAAUCCCAAAUUCUAAUUAUUGCCUGGGCACUCUCUGGUCUUACACGGUGCUCCACCUUCAGGUCCGUCCGAUCGCCAUCUGGUGGCUGGAACGAAACGGCGCUACCGUCCAAAGUAAAGACACUGCGUGUCUCUCUUCCUUCAUCCUCUCCAUUCCCCUCCCCGCCUCUUGGUUUGGCUCACUCUAGCUCCCGAAUCCACCGGUAAAUUGGGCUCGUCGGCGGCGAGAAGACCCGCUGAAAUCAGCCGGGGUCGGGUGUACUCCUUGUGGGAGAGCAUUGGGGAGCAUCGACGACGGGGUCGCGCGGAUCGACUCUCCCUGCAUCCAUCCCUCCACCCCCACUAUCUCGGCUUCAUCCACCCACCACCCUCGCCAUGGCCACAUCCGCGGCCUGCGCGUCCUCCCACCUCGCUCCUCCCUCUUCCGCCGCAACUUGCGCGGGUCCAGCCUACUCCAGUGCGCUUUUCGCCACCUCCGUGAUGUCGCUGCGGCCGUACCCGCGGCUGCUCCUCGCGUUCCGCCGCCCCUCAAUGGCCACCGUUGCCGCUCCGCAGGCCGCGGCCGUCCUAGAGGACGAGGACGAAGCGCCCGUCCAGUUCGACCACGUCACGACGAUUACGAGGACAGGUUCGUUCGGUAGCGCGACCUCCUGAUUCGACGCAUUGGAGGCCGAUGACCGCCGCGCAAGGGUCGGUGAAGGACCAUCGGCGGCUCAUCCUCGCGAAGAAGCGCCCACGGUCUGUUAACAAACCAUGGCGGUCUACAAUUCGAGGAACCACACCACUGAGGAAGUUCCUAGGAAAGUAUAUUCAACUUCAUUUGGUUUAGUUCUCGUUGACAGUAUGUAUGUGCAUGUUCCAUGUGGUUGGAGUGGGCGCUGGUACAGUGUGUGCAUCUACUGUGAGAUAUCUACCUCUCAUGUUGCAUGAUGUUGACAGGAAACUCAACUCAUAUUAUACAUGCAUGUUACUGUGUUCCCCCUUCAAACUUUAACAUAUGAUUUUCAUCU
Lolium perenne is the source of this 1073-nucleotide long non-coding RNA. RefSeq lists it as uncharacterized. NCBI's taxonomy places the organism in Eukaryota, Viridiplantae, Streptophyta, Magnoliopsida, Poales, Poaceae. The record is from RefSeq and is a predicted model, not a curated record.